This 468-nucleotide ribosomal RNA is filed under the name uncultured bacterium. Its description in RNAcentral is "partial 16S ribosomal RNA". It matches the Rfam family "Bacterial small subunit ribosomal RNA", at positions 28 to 507 of the family's 1533-position model. The record is from RNAcentral.
GACGAACGCUGGCGGCGUGCCUAACACAUGCAAGUCGAACGGAAAGGCCCGGCUUUUGUGGGGUGCUCGAGUGGCGAACGGGUGAGCAACACGUGAGUAACCUGCCCUUGACCUUGGGAUAACUUCAGGAAACUGGGGCUAAUACCGGAUAGGAGCUCCUGCUGCAUGGUGGGGGUUGGAAAGUUUCGGCGGUUGGGGAUGGACUCGCGGCUUAUCAGCUUGUUGGUUGGGUAGUGGCUUACCAAGGCUUGGACGGGUAGCCGGCCUGAGAGGGUGACCGGCCACAUUGGGACUGAGAUACGGCCCAGACUCCUACGGGAGGCAGCAGUGGAGAAUGUUGCACAAUGGGCGGAAGCCUGAUGCAGCAACGCCGCGUGGGGGAUGACAGCCUUCGGGUUGGAAACCGCUUUCGCCUGUGACGAGGCGUGAGUGACGGUAAUGGGUAAAGAAGCACCGGCUAACUACGUG